UACGUAGGCAGCAAGCGUUGUUCGGAAUUACUGGGCGUAAAGAGUGUGUAGGCGGUGCUCUAAGUCUGUUGUGAAAUCUCCCGGCUCAACCUGGGAAUUGCAUUCGAGACUGCAUUGCUGGAGUACGGAAGAGGAAGGCGGAAUUCCCGGUGUAGCGGUGAAAUGCGUAGAUAUCGGGAGGAACAUCAGUGGCGAAGGCGGCCUUCUGGUCCAGUACUGACACUCAAGUGCGAAAGCGUGGGGAGCAAACAGG
This 253-nucleotide ribosomal RNA is filed under the name uncultured bacterium. RNAcentral's name for it is "partial 16S ribosomal RNA". It matches the Rfam family "Bacterial small subunit ribosomal RNA", at positions 524 to 776 of the family's 1533-position model. The record is from RNAcentral.